This is a non-coding RNA of Xyrichtys novacula (pearly razorfish), 11439 nucleotides long. The record is from the annotation of a GenBank genome assembly. NCBI's taxonomy places the organism in Eukaryota, Metazoa, Chordata, Actinopteri, Labriformes, Labridae.
AUUAUUGAUCCAUAUCCAGACCUAAAAGCAGUCUCCCUGUCAUGAUUAAACUGGUUUUAACACUUGAGGGACACAUGGAGGCUGUUUUUUGUGUUUUUUUGUGGAGUCUCUUUUGGGCGGCUCCUCUUCAGCUGAAGCUCCUCCUACACCUUCACACCUGCACCUGAUCAACCUGAUCACCACCUGCUCUUAAGCUCUGCUCAGAUCUCCUUCACUCUUUGGACCCCGGACCUCUCACCAUCCCACACCAAUCACACUCCAUCUAAAUACCUGCAAUAACUAAAACACCAGUUGUGCAGUUUACAGCCAAGGUGCCAAAUCACACAAAUGUCGCUCCAGAGUAAUUUCUAGGAAGACUUUAUCGCACACUCACUUUUAUCACCUUUGGUACACCCUCAGCGACAAGAUCAACGCUGCAUUCAAGGAGCGAUUAUUGAAAUUAAAAGAGACGAGACCUGCGUGAAGAUCUGUGGUGCGCCUGGUUGAAGUGAUGGCGUGCAGCCUCAGAGGUGUUUAUAAGGGAAAUGAAACGGCGCUGAAAGCGUCUCAAAAUGCUGCAGGACUGUUUAGUCAUCACACGGUAAUCACUGCAGCUUUUAUCAGAGACGGAGUCGACCGUCGUGCACGGCGUGGAAACUGCAGCCCACCGCUGACACUCACGUUCCACUCACGGGGGGGUUAAACCUUCAGCGUAUGAAUGUAAUCAGUUUUAUUAUCAUAUACCGCUGGUCUAUUGAAUGAGUUUGUUUCCCUGUGCUUCAGUGGAUAACAAUAGGUUUCUGAUAGUCACGCUUUCUGCUGCCAAAAAUCAAAAACUUUAAAGUUUUAGUCGAGCAGCUUUUUAAAAUCCUGAUCUCUAACCGUGAAAAAUCUCCUCAGAUUUAAUCCUGCAGAGCAUCUUGAGGAGCAUCUGUGAUGGUGUUUGGGGAAAAGUCAGAUCUUACAAUAAGGAGGAGCAGAAACCCGAACCUCGCCCUCCAGUUUUUUCAGGUCAAGCAAAAACAGACAAAGAGAAUAUUUCAUUUUUGACUCAUCCCUGAUCCUGCUUUUGUCCUUUUCUUAUCUCAUAGAUUUUUUCAGCUUCAGCUCACCGAACCAGUCUGACAGAUCAGUGGAAAUGAUUUCUUAAUAUCUCUCGCUUUAUCCUGCUGCUUGGAAAUAAAAAUCUGUGGCUUUGGUAUUCCCUGUGAUACCUCGAGGAAAUCAUAUGUGGGUGAUAUAAUUUGAAGCCUCUGUGAUGGAUCAGAUCUUCAGACAUCUUUUUCAACGCAGUGAAAAUGUGGCGGAUAUGCAGAGAGGAGGAUUUCAGUCCGUUAAUGUUUUAUUUGUCGAGUUUAAAGACUCAAUACGAGUUUUUACAGAUGAGGCAAGUAGAGAGACGUUAAAAAGGUCAAACAAAAUAAAGAUAAGGAACUAAAAAGUAAAUGAGUAAUUGACUCAAAACUGAUUAUUUGUUACGCUUUUACUUUGACAUGUUUUUACAGGUCGCUGCUACAGCUAGUUUGUGAGCAGUCUGCCAUCUCUUCAUCAUCCAACCUUCAGGACAUGACUGUAUGUUUAUUUAAGCAAAUUAAUUUUGUGCCAGAAUAUCCCUUUAAACAAAACCUCCACAGGGGACGGCGUGCAGAAAUGACAGAACUGUCUUAUCGUACAGCAUGACCUCCACGCCAUAACUUUGACCUCCAUGUUUGAGCACAGUUACCUUCGCCAUACUGAAGUACACGAGUCUACAUCGUCAGGAGGUUCGGGGGGAUCCACACCAAUCACAUGUACUCAAGUCCACCCGGGUCUGCCAUUAUGCGGGGCUAUUUCUGCUGUGUCCAUGUCGAUCACGUCAGCCUUAUUAACCUCAAAUAAAGAGGCUUUUAAAAGCAGGAUUCUCACCUCGGGGUCACUGCAGAGUUCGAGCGAGUACACAGAGGGAGAGUCUCGACAGAAACGUGCUGCAGGAGGUUAAAGGACCAGGUGGGAAGACGGUGAUCUCAGUGUGACUGAACUGUCCGUUGGAUACAGCGGCGGCAGCGGCCGUGACUAACAGCUCAUGGGGGAAAUUAAGGUUUCUGGAUCGUCUGCAGGUCAAGUGUUCAUAUUUUAGUUUUUUCAACUUUACACCCAUCUCUGUGUUGAGUAUUGAUCGGGCCCAAUUGAAGUCCAGUCAUUAAUCAUCCGCAGUGUGCGGCAGGGGUCAGUUAGAGAAGGAUGUUAGAAACGUCGAUCAGCUGACUGCACACUCCACCACACAGCUUCAGAGCUUUUAGAGAUCACCAUGGCAACACACGGACAUAAACAUGCUCACUAAUCGGCAACAACACCUAAAGUAAUCAAGUGCAUCAGCUCUGCCAGUAAGUCUUCCUGUGUGAUCACAGUGUUUUUGAUCAUCAGGGCUUUUGCAGGAACGACAGGGUCCCAAACUUCGCUGUCAUUGAUCUGCUUCGGCCCGUUUCAGUCCGAUUAAGAUGCAAAAGAAAACCGAUCCCCAUCCAUAUUAUCUGGGCAGAACAGUCCGACUGUCGGACAUGUGUAACGCUGACUCCUUGAUCGAACAGUUAGCAGAUAUUUACACACUAAAGUGGAUUUCUCUACCCUUGACGUGGCACUCAAUGAAGCUGAGGAGAGGUUAGGUCACCGGGGAUGUGCCUUAUGGAGCUGCUGAGGCCUGUUAAAGGAAGGACACAUUUUAAGGCAGCGCUCGGAGCUUGUGAAAUGGAAAAUCCUCCUUCUGCCGCGUCGCAAUCACUCUUAAAUUGCUUCCUUUUAAGAUGCAGACUCAGCCACACAGUCUCCCAUAUUUCUGCGCCUGAUUUUACCCACUAUUCCUGUUCCAGCAUUUCUCUUUCAACCGCAGAUUACUAUCAUUACAGAGGCGGAAAUCCCACAAACGUAAUACUCUUUGUAUUUGAUGAAAAGUAGAGGUUGGAUAUUCAAAAGGCUGCCGCUGUGGUCCAUCGAUUGUUACUCUGGCUCGCAGACUGAAGGCAGGAAUCAAUCAUUGAUCAAAGUCGAGCCGAGAAAGAGAAUAAAGGAGUGAUAGAGGAUACAGGAAAACAAAGAGGUAAACAAAGAGUUCAUGAUACACUGAGAAGAUGAACAGCUGUUACGUUAAAGUCAAAAUGAUGCCCGUGUAAGACUGCGAUGAUCAUGAAUUCUGCAGAUUUAAGGAUUCUUUGAGACCACUGAGUGACCGGUCUCCAAGGACACUGAUAUACUGGAUCAGCCCCAGGAGGACCACUGGGAUUCAUCGCAGUCGGCUCAUAAGAUAUCCAAUAUUUUUCUACGGCGUAAAAUUAAGUUAGGGUCAAACACACCGAAAGACCAAGUUAGACAACCCAUCGAGAGAUGAAUGUUGCCGACCGCUUGCUUCUCUAGUUAUACCAACUUUAGUAACGACCGCAGGAUAGUAAUACAAUAGCAAUAAUGCUCAGAACAGCACCUAACUUCAUCAACAGGACAUAUAGGGUCACAGACAUAGGACUAGUAACCAAACAUCUUUUUAACUUUGACUCAUUUCUUUAGCAAAGAGACUAAACACAACUCACCUACUCUCUUCUAGAUCGAGAGAUCAAGAGUUCUAUUUUUUCCGGACGCCGGAGCAUGGAGACGCUGAUUCUAGAAGUAGAUUUCCUCCUCUGGAAGGACACAAUCUACUGCUUACAUGUCUAUGUGGCUGUGUUUAUAGAGACAACUCGUUAUCGCGCAAUUGCAUGUGAAUCCGCGGAGUUCUCACAAUUCCUGCUGUCCGUAAUCCGCCACGAAAUUCGUCUCACAAAUGGAUCUGGUAGGAAUUGGCGAACAGUGAAAAUCGCCACCGUUACGGAUUUGGUGGAAAAUCCCAGGUAACACUUGGUGGUUCAAAAGCCAGUAUUUGCAUCACUUUGGGGAUCACGAGUGUCUGGUAGUCGUAUCUUGCACAUAAAAAAAAAAAACAGCUGCUUGUAGAAGCUGAAAUCAAAGUUUAGUAGUUCGGGGUAAAGAAUAGAUCCUCUUCUAUGCUGAUGAUAUUUAAGUAUCCCGUUCAGUGCACGCCUCGCUGAGAUCUCCACCACCUGGGGCACCUGAAAGGUGUGCCUGCUGUGACACUAAGUAAUGCUGUGGGAUGGAUAGUGGGCUAACAGCAGAAUACCAUGUGUAUAAUUUCACGAGGCUUAUUAUACACCAUUUCACAAACAUCUACAUUAUGCUGUUCAGUCAGCGCACUUAAGCAGCCUCCUACCCGCUCUGCCUGUAAUUUAAAUUAUGAAUGUCAGUCAGCAUAAAUAGAUCUAUGCUGUCUGUAUCUAUGUGGUCUAGAGCCUCUUUAUAUGUGUGUCGAGAAUCCUCAGGUAAUGGGGGAUGAUGAAGGGGGACGGCGAGAAAGAGGAGAAGAAGUUCUAGCUAUUAUAGAGACGUCUUAAAUUAGUGUCUCCAUUAGCACUUGUAAGUCUUCAAAGGUCAGUGGAGCUGGAAGCAGAUGAAGAUGAGUCCAGCUGAACACGCUGCUGCUGCUGCGGCUGCCCUCUCGAUCAGCUGCGAAACGGAAAGAAGUCGUUGGAAAUUGACACGUUAACUUGGAGGGUUACGGUCAGCUACGAUCGGAGGAUGCGGCGUUUUCGUUGGGGGUCAGUUUCUCUGGACAUUUGAAGUGAGCAUUUAUUCUCCAUCAAACAGCCAAAUUUUUCACCUUCAACAUCAGAUAUUUCAUCUGUUUUAAAUCCAUUAAUCUUGUCUUUAUUCUAAUUUUCUUGGCAUUUGGGUCGUAGAACAGAUGUCAAACGGGGACGCCUCUGCAUCGCUCCAAGAAACAUAUCAGCAAACACCCAGGCAGAGUUCAAAGCAUGAGUCAGCCUUGGACUUCUUUCAUGCAUUUGACGCCAGAGCUCAUAGUUGUGGAAAAACAAACCGAAUGAUGAAAAUACUCUUCAAGGAUAAAUAAAGAAGUCAGCUCUCACUCCCCAACACCGCUGUCCAAGUUUCUUCAAAACUGGCAGAGAGAAAAGCUCGGAGAGGUCGUCCGAUCCACUCUGAUUGUCAAUUUCAAUAAGUUAGCGUUAAAAAAACAAACUUUUUGUUGCAUUAAACAAACAGAGAACUUUUUACAUUGGUAAUUGUGAGGUAAUUUAUGCCGUCUCCUAAUUAUAACAACACAACAAAUCAACUCUUGGCACAUAAUGAGAGAUAGAGAGAGCUUUAACGAGGUAAACGCUUCAAUUAAGGAGUAAUUAACAUUAAUGCUCAACAGCGGGACUACUGGAGAGAAUCAGACAACAGGAAACAUUCAGACGGAUAAAUACGUCAAUGGAGUUAGUGAUGAGAGCGGUGGUUACAGGAAGCGGUGGAGGUAAUGAAUGGAGACACAUUAAAUAAAGCAAAAGCGCAUUAUUGUAAAAAAAAUAUGUAUUAUAAUCCUUUUAGUUGUGGCAAGAAUUCAAGUCUGUAAAUUCACUCGUUAGAUCCUCAGAGGAGCAAAUUACAGGAUAUUACCCGAUCAAUGAUGAGUUUAACACAGACUAACAGUCCGAUAAUUUGUCUGAAAACCCCCAAACUAGAAAAAAAACAUCCUCAUUCUCUGGAAGAAGCAGCUAAUUAAAAGCCGUAAAAUGAUAUAAUAGCAAACUCGAAUCUCGCCGAAGGACGCGUGUUGUCUGCUGAACUCUCCUCCCUCCUCGUACACAGCGUGGGCUCUCUGCAGACUGUUAACCGUCUCAGUCUGGCAGCUGCUCUACAACACGGACCUGCUGCUCUUUGUCACUCUCUACAUUCACAGAGAGCAGCUGUAGAGCAACAGGAGGCUCUCUAAAGAGGCUCGUGUCGGAGUAUGAGGACCGGCAUUUGACCCGCUGAUGAUGCAAAAUGAAAAAAACGGUGGAUACCCGAAGUCGUUUCACCAGAUUUUCGGCUCUAAGCAACAAUUUAAAACUGCAUGUGGUGCUAAUAUUAAUUUGGGAAUUGUGUAAGUAGGCCUGAGGGUCCACUUGACCUGAAGUUAGAACAGCAGGAGUGAGCGAACAGACCUCUGAAUGUGUGACUCGUGCUGCAAAAUAUGAUAUUAAUGACUCCCUCACGACGCGUUCAAUAAUUACCCACUUGCUGCUUCUCCAGUCUGGGAAAUCGCUCUGAACCGACUCUUCACUAGUCUGCCAGCUUUGCAUCUCCAUCGCCAAAGAAGCAGCUGUAGGAGCGUUUGUACGGCGUAGAGUUGGUUUGCACUGAAACAUGCAAAAUGAGACUCGGGGUUGUUUAUCUCUACCCGACGAACAAGAUACGAUCUCACUGUGCGAUUAAUCCCGACUUGAUUUAAUGUUGACAUCCUACUGCUUCUCAGUCGGCAGUACAGCAUUAAUUCCAGGUGAAGUGAGGAGGAAGAGAGGGAAAGGUGAGGCAGAGAGGAAGAAGGAGGGAGUCAAGAGGAAGUGCAACAAAUAAGAGGCGUUUCCAGAGAAGCAAACCAGGUAUGAUUAAAGUACCGCGCCAAAACAGUUUAAGCUAACACGCUAAGUGCGGUCUACAGCAGGUUAAUGAGCCAUAGUCAUUUUAUCAUAACAUAUCUAGGCCAGUAACAGCAGCAUUCAGGCUCAGUGUCGGCCAGUUAAGUUAGUCUACAUCCCAGUCCUUGGUGUGGCCUGGAAUGGAAUCAAACUCUUGGCUCUCGAACCGCGUUUAUCCAAAGAGGACUCGUCAAUCCGACCGGCACAUAAAUAUUUAUCGAACUUUUCUGUAUUCCUGUCAGACACUUCACAUUUCUGAUGGUUUGAAAUAGUCUGUUGCAUCAGAACAGCUCAGCUUCCAGGCCCGGACCUCCUCGAAGAUUUAUUUUUUCUUGCAGAAAAUUGAGCGGUGAUGAGAUUAGGUCUUAAACCAGCUGUAGUCGGAGCCUGCAGGUGGAUGCUGGGGGGAGGUGGUGGAGGUGAAGGGAUGAGCCCAGCACUUAUAUCAGCAGGUGUGGUACUGACAGAAAGAGAGAGAGAGAGAGAGAGAGGAGGGCGAGUUUUUACGGUUUAGACAAUACGCAGUUGUGAGGAUGAGAUUUUCCAUUUACCGUACGUAUAAACAAUUGCGUCAUCAGCAUAUAGAUGAAUUUCAGCAGAGUGAAGGACGGAAAGGUCAUCGAUAAACAUGGAAAAAAGGAGCGGGCCUAAGGAUGAGCCUUGUGGGACUCCCAUAUGUUGUUUGUAUGUAAACUUGUCGACUGAAUUUUACAACCCUGCUUUAUUUCAGAGGUUUUAGUCUCUUUUACUAAACGUGACCUGUCGUCUCGCAGCCGCAGGGUGAGUACGCCCCGAGGACGAACGCUUCGUCACGUUAAGACUUUAGCCUGAAGGAAGAACAGACAGGACAAAGCUGCCUGAGGUUCUGAGUCUGCAGGACUGAACUCUGAACCUCUGACUGCUGAAUCUGGAAUAUAAGAGAAGUCACUUUUUAUCCAGCACUCAGAACUCCGCUGGAUCGCCGUCGAUCCCACGUGACGCCAUUAUUAUUGUUUAUAGUUUUUUACAGUGUAUCUCUACGGGAUAAAAAGUGUUCAAAAGCUUACCCUUUUGUCGAUCUAUCGAGGGUUUCCAGACAUUUCUACACCUGCCACAAGGUUUACAAUCCAGCCACAAAAACAGGUGUUUGAUCAGAGACGAUUGAUGGUAAAUCCGCAGUGAUAUACGGUGAAAACAGGAUUAUUGAUCAAAUUGUUGUGAUCGAAAAAGAUCGCUAUUGCUAAAUGCCGCUAAUGUCUUCCAGGUUUGACAAGCCAAACUUUAGACCAAUUACACGGCCUCAUAUUCUUCUCAUACCCUUAGAGGACCGGAUCCUAAAGAUUCAUAAACUGCACUUCCUCCCUCGAUCAAAUAAAUGCAGGUUUAUUUUAAUGUCUGUUUGAUCAGGUCCAAGCUCUUUAACUCUCAUCUUCUCCUGCAAAGAUCAGGUCCAAGCUCUUUAACUCUCAUCUUCUCCUGCAAAGAUCAGGUCCAAGCUCUUUAACUCUCAUCUUCUCCUGCAAAGAUCAGGUCCAAGCUCUUUAACUCUCAUCUUCUAUUGUUCCCUCAAUGUUUGGAAACAAGUGAAGAAGAGAUUCUGAGCAGUAUGAUGUGGUCCUCUGUCUCAUCCCAGGAGUGGCAGAAACAACUGUAAACAGUCAAAAACGCCUGGAAGAAUGAGUGUAAAUAUGUCAAUAGUUUCUGUUGUGUGUUUGUUCCAAUCCCAAUAUUUCUUCUCCUGAUAGACAAGACUUGAGAGAAUGAUGUGCAGGUGAGAAAAGGCUUGGUCACUGUAGAUUUAUGUGGUUUUGGAGCAAAGUUCUGUUGGGAUCAAUUUCCACAAACAGGCGAACUAAAAAUAGCAAAAUAAAGCUUGGAGUUCAAAGGGUUAAUGUCAAAGCUGUUUCAAACUCGGGGUUGUCGAGUCAGAAUAUAAAACAGGCUUGAAUCAAACGCACCUCUAAUAUAUGCCGUAUUUUGUGAUUACAAAGGCUUCAGUAGACUACAUUACAAGAAUCAAAGCCUGUCAGGAAAACACACAAAAAGCAAUCAUGCACAAAGUCGGCAAACAGCCUGAUCGUCGACGCUGCUGAAUUUUUAAACACCAAGUCACGCUCGAUUAUCCGAAUUCUGAGGAGUUCAGAAACUUAGAUUAACGGUAUCUUGCUGUAAAUACGAGUCGAACCUCGAUGAAAAGAGUGAUGAGAGAGAAGAAUCAGGAGGUUUAUACUGCGGCUGAAUUUGCAUGUUUGUGUUGUUUGUAUUUAUAUUUGUGCAUAAGAAAGUACAGCUUGUCAGAAGUGAUCACAGUCAUGCCACCUUCCUCCCCUCCUCCUCCUCCUCCUCCUUUAAUCCCCUGUUUAUCCUCCGAUUUAUCGUCACAUCUUCUCCUCCUGCCUCCCUAUUUUUAUCUUACGUCUCCCCGGUUGCGUCACCGAAAGAUAAAAGGAUGGCGGUGAUAGCGACAGUAAUUACGCCGCUCCUCUUUCUCUCUCCUGUCUUGCUUCAUUGGACCGGUGUGAUUGUGUGUGACUGUCUGAGUUGUUUGGGUGUUCGAGACCAAGACGAUCAUAAAUUCAACAGGAGGCGACGACAAGAAAAGAAAAUAGCGGAGCUGAUGUCAGAGAGGGAAUCUGAAGGAGCGGUUUGAGGCUUCAGCUCUGAUUCAAUUGUGUGGAAAAGUCGACCAAUUCCAGAGUCAUUUCUUCAUCUGCCGAGUCAAAUAUGACAAACUGGAGCGAGAGAAUAAGGAGAGAGAGAGACAGACCCAAGACGUGAAUGAUAAUGAAAUCAUUUGCUUUAGUCUGGUGUGCGAGUUCAGACAUAUGUUGGAGUCAUGUCACAGAUUCUGUUUAAGUCUUUAGAUGGAUUUAACUAAUUAGACUGACUGUCCUCAGGGUCAGUCAGGAGCGUAACCUCGGUCUGAAACACAGUUAGCAGACGGGGACGCUUCCUAACCGGCUCUCAUCUUAACAGGAAUGAGCCAGGUUUGUCGUCUGAGCGGUCAAACGCAGAGAAGGAUUUACUGCAGCUGUAAACAAAAUCAGGAGUGUAAAUGCCGAAAAUACGAACUACAGGGGCGGCUGUGGAUUAGUGGAAGGAUCAGAAGGAUGGUUGUCUGAAUUGGGUCUGUUAAUUCUGCAGCUUCUGCCGUCAGUGGGCCCGUUUACAUGGGUCCAAAAAUCCUGUUUACAAUCAGAUUCAAAAUGUCUCAUAUAAACACCUUCGCCAAUCUGAUUCACCCGGAUCUGAUUGUAUUUCGGGUCAGAUUGUAAAGAGGUAGUCUACGCCGAUUGAUAAUCCGCUCCAUAUAUACGGCUGAGUGGAGCGGAUUGGGUUUACAGAGAGGCGUGUUCGGUCUGCGCAGACGCUCGGUAGUACGUAAGAGCCACGCAGUGAGGUACGCAGAGCGCGCCCGAACGAAAACAAACAUGGCGAACAAACAGAAAAACUGGACGGUGGAGCGUUAAAGUGUGUCGUUUCGUUGUGUACACUUCUUGCUGUGUAACCCGGCUGGAUUAUACUUUUAUUAAACUUCAACACAUAGGGUUCCUUACUCUGCUCGGUCUGGUAACUCCGGCGGUGUCACACACAAACACGUCCAUGCGCAACUCUAAAACGGAACUAAAACAAUGGUUCCUAUUAACAAUUCCCAUUGAUACAAUACAGCUGGAUUCAGCUGGGCCCAUGAAAACACGGACUGAACGUGGAUCUCUUUACUUAAAUUCAUGUGUACAGAUGGAAUCAGAUUCACUUAAAACUGCCCAUGUAAACAGAGCCACUGUAUGAAUGAGGUGAGUCUUGAUCCCUCAAACUAAAACUCUGCCAUUAUUAUUAUAACUUAAAGUGUCUCCACAUUUGUGCGAAUGACUUACAUGUUAAGUCAAUGUGUAGACGCGAUCGGACUCUACUACUACUCUGGCAGGACAAACGAUGCGAAUUGGGCGGGAGCUGAAAAUGUCUCAACUUGAGCGAAUAUUCGUGUCGCGAUAACCAAUCAGCUCGAAGGUUUCUUGGUUAGAAAGAUGUGUAAAGAAUAACACCCACGUCAUCUUUCACGAUGUUGCUGCAAACUCAUGAUUAUCUUUGUUCAUCUUCUCCUCAGAGCGUCAGAUUUGAAGCAGCAGGAUGCAGCACAUGAGGACCAGACUCGGAGUGAUUCGUGAUUAACUCGUUUAUCUCUGGAAGCGCGUUUCUCCUCCCUGCUGCUCCGAAUUAAAGACCACAUGAAAUGAUGACUUCUGUUUGUGUCUGCGAAGCUAAAACAAACUGCAGAUUAUUAAUGAUGAUAUUAAACAUGGAAGUAUUUGGGUGUAAAGAUGAGAUUAACGAUGUUACAGGUGCAGCAGCAGCUCGACUCGUUAAAGUGAUCUCAUUAAAACGAGAACAAAUGUGACAAAUUAAUCUUACACACGAACACUUUUCCUCCUUUUUCAUGUGGACAGCUGGACCAGAGUGGAAAAAUUAGUCCACUGUCAUUAGUCAGGUUGCUUGGCAACCGAUGAGACGAGGCUAAUCACCCUGACAGGCCAGAGGAGGAGGCGGCGGUGAAGGCGGAGCAGCGACGGAGGAAGAAAUGAGUGUGGAUGUUACGGGGCAAGAUGGGAUCAAAGACAUCCGAGUUAGUCUGAAGAGAUGAAGAAACGAGGAAAAACGAGAAAAGAGGAGAAAGGAGGAGACAGGAGGCGACGCCGUCUAAUUACAGAAGAGAGGAUCACUGACGACUGAACUUUAAAGACCAACAUUAGUGGAAAUGCAAAUGAAGCGGCACAAGGACACAGACUUAAUGACGAGUCAUGAGUUCAAGUCAAGAACGAGAAAAUCAGAGCAGCUUUUUAUGUGUUUUUUUCAGCCGUGUGGUCAGAGUCGUAAAUAUCUGAGAUACUGCACAGACUGAGAACCGUUAGAAACACUCACAUUUAGACGCAAACGGAGAACUGACCCCUGAAAACGAUGCUUUUUAAAAACUCCAAAACUUGCAUUUAAAUGAAAAAACCCC